AAAGAAGUGGGUGGUAACCACCUCUCGGAGGCAAGCCAGGACCCAUGGAGUCUGAUCUACAACACAAGCAGUAGCAGUUCCACAUCUCCCUACCAGCUCUUAUUUCCUACGAAGUCUUUCUGCCUGAAACUGGAAAACCCGAACUAUUAUUGAGGAAGUGAAGCCCUUCCAUUUGAAUCCUGAGAAAGACGCGCUCAAAGAACCCAGCGAACAAAGAAGAGGGUUGGAGCCCACGCAAAACAUGGGUGUGAUAAAGCCACACGCGACCUGAGCCCCCACCCUCAGUAACUACUCUCCAGCGCCCACCGGGAGGAGGGGUCCGGGGAAAGGAUUGGCAUCCUCUGCUUCUGCAGAAAACAUGGCUACCAACAGCUUCUGAAUCCACCUGCAGAGGAGACUGACUGCUCUGUUAUUCCCCCAGCAUCUGUGAAGAGGCUCUGACUGGCUAAAAUGUGGUAUAGUGAUCACCCCAGGGUUAGGCAACCAUGGCUGGUGAAAAGGAAAAACGUUAUGAACCUGGCUGUGCCGAGCUACCUGAGGAAGCUUGUAGGAGAAGGGUCAGUUUGCAGAGAAAGCGGGGCCUGGGCAGACGACGCAAGAGGUGCCCAUUACAUCCCUCUAGAGGAAGGAGUCUGUAGCUUUAGGGGAAGACAGAGCCACAAGAUGGAAGGAGCUUGGAUGUCUGAACUACUCCAUGGAGAAAAGCUGCAGCCAACGAAGAACACCUGCAAUGGACUCUUAACCUGGGGUGACGACAACCACUGAAAUAUGCUGCAUCUUAGUCCAGGGAUUUUUAAAGUGUGGUUCCUGGAAGAGCUGGAUCAGAGUCAUCUGUGUUGAUGGUUUAACAUAAAGAUUUUCGGGCCCCAAGACUCAAAUAGGACAAGGAAUUUGAAUUUUUAAGCAGCUCACCUGACUUGUCUGUCCUCUAAUGUCUGAAGACAUCUGACCUCUGCUCUUUCAGUAAAAGCAACAAUGGUUUUAUGAGCAUUGUCGUCACAUCUCUCCACUCAAGGGAUCCUUCUCAUUUCUCCCAGCUGAGGUCACCCACAGCUGCUGCUUCUAACUGCUGGCUUCCAGUCUGCUGUCUGCCAGCUGGCUCUACCCUCUCCUAUAACACAGCAGAGAGUAGCUGUGGUCUCCUGCGUGCUCACCCUCUGCUCCCUUGGUCCUGCUCCAUGCUUUGGUCCUGCACUUAAAUUUUACAAGCAUACUCUCUUUCUCUUAAGAAUGAUUUUCAAUGCCAUUUAGAGGAAAUCUUGGGAUCAACUUGGGAAAAGACUGAGGCUCCUGGCUCUGAUCUUUGGGGACUUCAGAUUUUCUGGAUCAAGGUGAGAUACUACAAAUUUGUAAGAAAAAAAGAAAUAUUUUCUCUUUUCAGCAUAAAAGCCAUAAUGUUAAGGAUAUUAAAAAAUAUCAUGUAAUCUGCACUUUGCAUAAACUUAUCUGAAAUUUAGCAUUAAAAUUGUUUUUUACUCUGAGCUACAGGGAAGGUGUCCCAGAAGAAAUGAUGCUUGCUCACUCCAUGUUUCCAUCACCAGGGGAUUGUGUCCUGCAGGGUCACUCUGCCUGCAUUCACUAGGCCUGUUCAGUCUUAGGGAUUUGCAAAGGUUCUCCUAUCCUUCAGGACUUCUGUUUGGAUUGUUCGGAAAUGUCCUUUGUGAUUGAUGGCUCUUGCCUCAUCACCCAUUCAUAAUGAAGGGGAAUAAGCUGAUUAAACACGACAUUUUGUGAGCCCUCCAUUUCCUCUUGCUUCUUGUAUUAGUUUUCUAUGGCUACUGUAAUAAAUCAACACAAAUUUAGUGGCUUAGAACAACAUGAACUUGUUAUCUUGCAUUUCUCUAGGUUUAGAAAUCCAACACAGGUCUCACCAGGCUGAAAUCAAGUUGUUAGCAGGGCUACGUACGUUCCCUUCUGGAGGCCCUGGGGGAAAGCUGUCCCCUUGCCUUUUCCAGCUUCUAAAGGCUGCACACAUUCCUUGGCUUAUAGCCCCUUCUUUACAUCUUCAAAGCCAGCACUGUUGCAUCUCCCUGAAGGUCCUUGAAGUGUAAACCCAUUCUUCAGUUCUUAUCAUUCCACUAACUGCCCCUUACUGCCUCACUUUUCUACCUUUAAGGACCCUUAUGAUUACAUCAGGACCACCCAGAUAAUCCUUGAUACUCUCCUCAUCUCAAGGCCCUUAACUUCAUCAUAUCUGCAAAGUCCCUCUUGCAAUGUAAGCUAACAUAGUCACAUGUUCCCGAGAUUAGGAUGUAGGUAUCUUUGAGGGAGGGCAUUAUUCUACCUACCACUCUUCUUAUUAAGAUUAUGUAUUUCUUUAAAAAUUAAGAAACAUAAAGUUUAUUACUAUAUUAUAAUUUUCAUCAUGAUAAAGUCAAGGUUGAAGUGCAAUAGAUUAUUUGUAAAAAUGGUCACAAUAAUUUCCUUUCUUAUUGGGCGUGGCAGCUCAUGCUGAGGUUGGGGGAAGGAUUGCUUGAAGUAAGGAAUUCAAGACCAGCCUAGGCAACUAAGAGAGAUUCCAUCUCUUCAAUUUUUUUUUUUUUUUUUUUUUUGAGACAGGAUCUUAAUCUGUUGCCCAGGCUGGAGUGCAGAGGCAUGAGCUUGGCCUUCUGCAACCUCUGCCUCCUAGUCUCAGGUGAUCCUCCCACCUCAGCCUCCUGAGUAGCUACAGGUACAUGCCACCACACCUGGCUAAUUUUUUAAAAGUUCUUUUGCCCAGGCUGGUCUUGAACUCCUGAGCUCAUGUGAUCUGCCUGCCUCGGCCUCCCACAGUGCUGGGAUUACAGGCAUGAGCCACCAUGCCUGGCCAAAACAUUUUUUAAAAAAUGAUUUCCUUUCCUUUCCUGUAUCCACACCUUUAUGAAAUCCCCUCUCAUGUGGACUUUGAGCUUGGCCAUAUGACAUACUUUGGCCAGUGAGACUACUGCAAACAUGAUGGAAGCGGAUACUUAAAAAGUACUUGCACACUGGGACUUGCCUUCUCUUGCUACUCUUAAGCCCUUUCUGACUACCAUGUGAAGAGGCCUGGUGCAUAUACUAAGUGAGAAGAUACAUGUGACCUAGGCACCUUUGUCAUCAAGCCAACAGCUAACACUGGGAGGUAGCACCAAUCACUAAGCAGCACAAGCCACCAGACAUUUAGAUGAGGCCACCUGAGAUCAUCCAGGCAGCAGCUGACCCAGCAGAAACCACAGGUAUGUGAAAGAGGCCAGCAGAGGGAAGACAAGCUGGGCCAGAACAGAAGAAUUGUCCAGCUGAACAACAGAAUUGUGAACUAAAUUAAAUUUUGGGGGGAUGGUUGGCUGUGUGGCAAAGGUUAAUUAAUGUGGGAAGGGAUAGGUAAACUAGAAACCAAAGUUGAGAAUAAGGUUGAAUAAACGAAAGUUUAGUUGCAAGGGAGUGGUGACAAAGAAGAGCCCUUAAAGGCAAAAUCAUAGACAACGUUUUUUGGAGAGAUCAUUUGCACAAGUACAGUACAGGCCCCUCCUUCCUCCUCCACCUUCAUGCCCUGACUCUGUGGACGUUCAGUGUCACAAGAAAUGCUCCAAUAAUCCCUUUCAUGGAAUGAUAUAAUGUCAUAAGAAGGAGCGUAAAAAUUCCCUGUUCUGAUUUUCCUAUUUAAUGGGAAGCUCAAAAAGACAAAAUGGCUUGCCCAUUUCAUCCUGAAAGUUUAGCUUAUACAGUGAUAUGCCACAUAAUGAUAUUUUUGGGUCUACAAUGGACCUCAUAUAUGACAGGUGGUCCCAUAAGAUUGUAAUGGAGCUGAAAAAUUCCUAUUGCCUUGUGACCUCGUAGCCAUCGUAAUGUUGUAGCACAAUGCAUUACAUUUGUGGUGAUGCUGAUAGAAACAAACGAACUGUGCUGCCAGGUUUAUCAAAGUAUAGAACAUGCAAUUAUGUACGGUAUAUAAUACUUGACAAUGAUAAUAAAUGACUAUGUUGCUGGUUUGUGUAUUUACUUUUUAUCAUUAUUUUAGGGUGUUCUCCUUCUACUUAUUAAAAAAAAAUAACUGGAAAACAGCCUUAGGCAGGUCCUUCAGGAGUAUUCCAGAAGAAAGCAUUGUUAUCAUAAGAGAUGACAGCUCCAUGCCUGUUAUUGCCCCUGAAGACCUUCCCGUGGAACAAGAUCUGGAGGUGGAAGACAGUGAUAUUGAUGAUCCUUAUUCUGUGUAGGCCUAGGCUAAUGUAUAUAUUUAUGUCUUAGUUUUUAACAAAAAAAGCUU
Long non-coding RNA from Pan troglodytes (chimpanzee), 4222 nucleotides. RefSeq lists it as uncharacterized. The transcript has 5 exons. Lineage: Eukaryota; Metazoa; Chordata; Mammalia; Primates; Hominidae. The record is from RefSeq and is a predicted model, not a curated record.